UUUGAGUCCUGGCUCAGGAGUGAACGCUGGCGGCGUGCUUAACACAUGCAAGUCGAACGGGGCGUGAUGUGCGAGAGGGAUAGUUUACUAGACUUCAAACUUUUCACGCCCUAGUGGCGGACGGGUGAGUAACGCGUGGGUAACCUGCCAUAUACAGGGGGAUAACACUUAGAAAUAGGUGCUAAUACCGCAUAAGCGCACAGGGGCGCAUGCCCCGGUGUGAAAACUCCGGUGGUAUAUGAUGGACCCGCGUCUGAUUAGCCAGUUGGCAGGGUAACGGCCUACCAAAGCGACGAUCAGUAGCCGGCCUGAGAGGGCGGACGGCCACAUUGGGACUGAGACACGGCCCAAACUCCUACGGGAGGCAGCAGUGGGGGAUAUUGCACAAUGGGGGAAACCCUGAUGCAGCGACGCCGCGUGAGUGAAGAAGUAUUUCGGCAUGUAAAGCUCUAUCAGCAGGGAAGAAAAUGACAGUACCUGACCAAGAAGCCCCGGCUAACUACGUG
This 506-nucleotide ribosomal RNA is filed under the name uncultured Lachnospiraceae bacterium. RNAcentral describes it as "bacterial SSU rRNA". It matches the Rfam family "Bacterial small subunit ribosomal RNA", at positions 1 to 507 of the family's 1533-position model. The record is from RNAcentral. Lineage: Bacteria; Bacillati; Bacillota; Clostridia; Lachnospirales; Lachnospiraceae.